CAGCUUGUUGGUGGGGUAACGGCCUACCAAGGCAGUGAUCCGUAGCUGGUCUGAGAGGAUGAUCAGCCACACUGGGACUGAGACACGGCCCAGACUCCUACGGGAGGCAGCAGUGGGGAAUAUUGGACAAUGGGCGCAAGCCUGAUCCAGCAAUGCCGCGUGAGUGAGGAAGGCCUUAGGGUUGUAAAGCUCUUUCGCACGCGACGAUGAUGACGGUAGCGUGAGAAGAAGCCCCGGCUAACUUCGUGCCAGCAGCCGCGGUAAUACGAAGGGGGCGAGCGUUGUUCGGAAUCACUGGGCGUAAAGGGCGCGUAGGUGGUUUGAUAAGGGUGUGGUGAAAGUCCGGGGCUCAACCCCGGAUCUGCCGUGCCGACUGUCAAACUCCAGGACUGUAAAGGCAGACGGAAUUCUG
RNAcentral lists this ribosomal RNA (412 nucleotides) under uncultured Alphaproteobacteria bacterium. Its description in RNAcentral is "SSU rRNA". It matches the Rfam family "Bacterial small subunit ribosomal RNA", at positions 242 to 671 of the family's 1533-position model. Lineage: Bacteria; Pseudomonadati; Pseudomonadota; Alphaproteobacteria. The record is from RNAcentral.